GAGAGAAAAAGAGAGUUAAGGGGAAAGAGAGUCAGGAUUUAGGAUACCAGCAGGGUUCACACUGUUUGUCAGUUUCAACACUGUGUGUGAGUGUGUGUCUGUGUGUGUUUAAUAAUAGCUGUACUGGAAUCUUUCCCCUGCCAGUCUCACAGUUUGACGCUGGUUUGUCCUUCAAGUCUGGUAAAAGCUUCAGAAAUCACAUAACCCGUCAAGUGCACUUGCACUUGGACAGACAGAGUAACAGAAAACCACCACCUUUGGUGUGCACUGCUGCAGGUCCCCCCCCCAGAAGUGAUGCUCAUCCCUCUGGACUGUCAGCGGGUCUGGCUUGUUACCUCAUGGGGGCGCUCUGGAUGUACUAAAGAAACCAUCCUCAACACUAGCCGUUUUUUUCUUUAAAAAAAAAAAUUGAACAGGGUCCAAACAGUGGAGGAAGCAGGAGAUGCUGACACAAUGUACGGCAGGGAGGACGAGGGGAGGCAUGGCAGAUCCUCCCUCCAUCACUCAUCACCGGAGAAAAUGAGGAAGACUUGGACACAAAGACGUGAGGCGUGAAGAGAAGAGGAGAGCAGCCGUGCAGAUAAUUAUCAGGGUGUUAUCCCGACACAAUGGAGCUGACGGACAGAGUCUCAUCUCGUCGGCUGCAGGAGGAUGAUGAAUCACUGGCCGCAGCACGUCUGCCAAACGUAGAAAAAUAGAUGCUAUUUAAGUCAUGAAUGCAAUUUUGCCUGCGAUCCAUUUACUCACCUACAUUCUCCUGUGAUUACACUAAAACACACACGUUUUUUCCCGCUUAAUCGAGUUGUUGGAAUUAUUGUGUGCUAACCUCCAGUAGCCCAUUCCUUC
Long non-coding RNA from Gasterosteus aculeatus aculeatus (three-spined stickleback), 846 nucleotides. The record is from Ensembl. Lineage: Eukaryota; Metazoa; Chordata; Actinopteri; Perciformes; Gasterosteidae.